This 253-nucleotide ribosomal RNA is filed under the name uncultured bacterium. Its description in RNAcentral is "partial 16S ribosomal RNA". It matches the Rfam family "Bacterial small subunit ribosomal RNA", at positions 524 to 776 of the family's 1533-position model. The record is from RNAcentral.
UACGUAGGGUGCAAGCGUUGUCCGGAAUUAUUGGGCGUAAAGAGCUCGUAGGCGGUUUGUCGCGUCUGCUGUGAAAACCCGAGGCUCAACCUCGGGCCUGCAGUGGGUACGGGCAGGCUCGAGUUCGGUAGGGGAGACUGGAAUUCCUGGUGUAGCGGUGAAAUGCGCAGAUAUCAGGAGGAACACCGGUGGCGAAGGCGGGUCUCUGGGCCGAUACUGACGCUGAGGAGCGAAAGCGUGGGGAGCGAACAGG